UCUUUGGUCUGGACUCAGACCUGCUCCUUGAACUUGAGGAAAUAUUUGGCACUUCUGCUUCUGAUCCCCGGCAUUUCCAGUCACAGCUUACUCUCCGAAUCUGGCUUUCCCUUUCCUGGGUACUCCGGGAAACCAUUCGCUUGGUGACUCUCUGUUCCUGGGACACCCUGGCCGAUGUGAUAUCACGUCUGCCGGGCCUGCCAGCCUCUAUGCGGGAGGAAUUAGGGCAAGUCCCACCGUUAUCUCUGGAGGUGAUGCUGAGGCUGUUGGUCCGUGGCCCACACCUGGAGCAGCACUGACCUAGCUCCAUGGAGCUACUGUGGAAGGUUCAUCUCCUUUAUCGGUGACUCCCGUAACUGUGGUGGAGGAAAUGCCAGACCCCUCUCCUGGCUGUUGCCAUAGCGAUUCCUGAGAAAGAAGAGCCAAGCAUGAAGUAUUCAGGUGAAAUUUUUAUCCAACUCAUGUUUAAAUUCAAUGUGGGUUUUACUUAUUAAAAUAUUUGAAAUCCAGCGAUCAGGGAGGCCGAAGCACUACUUUCCCGAUGACCUUUGCUACUUCCUCUCCGACUGCUGCUUUCUGCACGGAGCUAUCUUCGGCCAGAGCCAGCACCAGCCGGCGUUCUCCUGGGCUCAGGUCCUGUCGUAAAUUCUGGAUAUUUUGAGAUGAGAGACGCUGUCACUAAGAGGCAACAUGGCAGACUCCACAGACUGGUAAAGAAGGGAAUGAAUCAACCAGUGUUGUGACCAUGGUGACGACAGAGGUGUGCUCAGGCGACGGUGUUUAGUUUAAGGGAGCAGCUCACAGGCAGGCAGGUACUGCUUGUACAAUGCUGACAACCAGAGAAUGCAUGUUGCAUAAAUAGGGACACACUGCCUGAAAACAAAUGUAUCCUUUUGAAGAUGAAUGAAGGAAACAGCCAUGCCCGAGAAAUAGAAUAUUCUACUGGUGGCCAUGAGUUGCAAAGCACUCGAACACACAAUCAAGGACCCCUGUGACUUCUUCAAAUCUGGGUCCAUCGGGGAAAAAAGAAACACACUUUUGGCUAAAACUAUUGUUUCCAUAGUCAUCCACAUGCCUGAACUUAAAUAUUCACGCGAACCCCAAAUGCACAUGAAGAUUUCUAGAGCAUAUGAACAGUUUCACGGCAAGUCCCACUCAGUGCUGGCUAGGAUGCUGGAUUGCUCUGCUGUCCUGUUCUCUGAGUCAUGGAGCCCAGUGGAUCCAUCUGCACUAGGGCCUUCUAACUACACAGAUGGCGGUUCUGUUUCUGUGUGUGGUGAUAAGCACUCAGUUGUUAAUGAGGAAUAAAAAUAGAUUCAAUAAAUUCAGUAAAGACUGUAAUUAAGCAAUUGAAAGUCUUUAAAACUAACCAGGAACUGGUUCUACUUUUCAAUUUGUUCCCUCAAACUAAAUUUGACUUGUCAGGCUGACUCAACUCCAGGUACCUAGAUAACUGAGGGGCGGCCGUAAAACCACUCCAGAGCCUAGAGCUCAGACUCCACACUCCUGGAGGCAAGCUAAAUGAGGAACUAGAGACUGCCCUCUUGUUUCUCAACAACUUUCAAUUUGUCUUCCAUUCAGGAAUGCUAAUUUAGAAACACCUUGUUCUGCUCUUUCUUUAUAUUAUUGAGAAUCUGUUAUUUUUAAAUGAUUUAAGACAUUAAUUACAAGAAAUUUUCCAUUUUUUUUAAAGCAGGUACAUGGUUGUUCAUAUUUAACUUAAUUGCUUAAGAAUAUUUGGUUGAGGUAAAAAUAGAAGUUUAAUGUUCAUACUUCUUUGUUCAGCAGAACUGUACUCCUCUUCUGGUUGUUCCCAGGGACUUGAUCCUCACAGGUAAAAUAACUUGAACCUGACCUGCAGCCUCAGGUCUGCCCCAGACCCUUUGGUGUAGAACUAUUUUUAGUAUCCCCACUUUGCAGGUAAGAAACUCACUGGGGGUGGCCCAGCUCAUGUGGAAUAAGGCUAGGAUUUGAACUUGAGCACCCUGUCCUUGGAGCCCGUGCUCUUAACCAUAUGCUCUGGGCCUCUGUACCGCCUCCCAUUUGAACAGACCCAUUCCUUAGGUCUCCUUGAUCCAAGCAGGAUGGAAAACAAGAAGCAUACAUGAGAGUGCCCCCUCACCCCCGAAAUGCCACACUGUCUGUUGAAUUCUAGAAUGGGGGCUCCCAAAGUGUGGUCAACUAUAGCAGCAUCUGUAACUGUGCUUUCUCCCUCCAUGACUCUUUGAAGUAAUGGGCAUUCACUAGGACGCAUAAAUGCCACUGUAUUUGUAAAGUGUUAGUCUCACUAGAGCGUGGUCAUAUUUCUUAUAUAAAAUCAACAUGGCUAAUGACAAGCAAAUUUUGAGAAACCAACUUCUUUUUUUUGAUGCUAAGGGGGAAGGCAGUACAAACAAAGACAGUUUGUUUGCCUGGAAUAGCACUCUUAAUGAUGAAGACAGGAAAGUGUUUGGACAAUAGUACAAUCAGGUGAAUGAAUAACUACUUUAAAGUGAUACCUGCAAGGGAUUGUGGAUAGCUCCGACUCACGUGCUAUGAUAUAAAACAGACAUUAAUUCUGCGUCCAGAGUAAAUUCUGCAUUGCUUCCUCCACUUUUGCAGGACCUCUGGAUUCUUAUCAUGUUUUUCUUCUCAGGGUCCCCUCCUCCCUGCAACUGAGAAAAGGUCCUCCAGUAAACUAAUGAACCCCUAUGAUGGACCCUUGCAGUCUCCACCGCUGGUUUAAACCACGUUGGUUUCAUGGAGAUGUCAAAGUGCAGCCUGGGCCCCACCCACACUCUUGUCUGCAUCAGCCUCCCGCUCCGACAAUCACGGCCCUCUGACAUGCACCCAGUGUCCCACAAGGUCUCCUAAUACUCUGCACACCUUUUACAGUAAUUCACAUUUCAUGUCUUUGACGGCAAAAUUGGGGUUUCUAUAUUAUCUCCACUGCUUCAGCUUAAGAGUUUGCAGAACUUUCUCUGUAAGACCCAUAUUGUAAGUGCAGAGCUUCAAAAGCGUUUGUGGACAAUGCUGAAUAAAGUCUCCUGCCACAAAAUUAACUGUUUUAAAGCCCACCUCAUAUUCAAUACUCUUCUCAUUCCUAGGGAAGGAAGCAAUAUCUCAUCUAGGUAAGUAUGACUUGUGGGGGAAAUGUUUCUUAGAAAUUGUGGCAGAUGUUGCUAUUUCCUUCCAAAUAUUAAUUUCUCCCUGAGCAAUGUACACAGCUCUGGGCUAUAAUUUUCAGUUCCUCUUAAAGCUCUGAGAUGCAAGUGGAAUUUGCUCUUCAGGAUUUCCAGGAAACCUUUAAGAAAUUGGGAAGGGAGGGCACCUGGAUGGCUCAGUGGUUUAAGCCUCUGCCUUCAGCUCAGGUCAUGAUCUCAGGGUCCUGGGAUGGAGGUGUGCAUUGGGCUCUCUGCUCAGCAGGCAACCUGCUUCCUCCUCUCUCUGCCUGCCUCUCUGUCUACUUGUGAUCCCUCUUUCUCUGUCAAAUAAAUAAAUAAAAUCUUAAAAAAAUUAAAAAAGAUUAAAAAAAAAAGAUGCUACACCUUAUUUUAUUGAUAGAGAAAGCCUGAGUUUCCAAUGUUCAUACACAAACCAGCUCCAGAAUUCCUAUGUCUUUUAUGUGAAAAAGAAAUACUUUUUUAUUUUGUUUCAGACAUUAUUUUUUAUUUGUUUGUUUUGGUUUAAUGUUAUUUGUAGACAAAUGCAAUUCUAACCAGUAGAUAAGUUAAUUUAAUGAGAGUAUCCAAUUAAAUUUUAAGUGGCAUAAUAGAGGCGAGACAUACGAAUUCAGGAAUGCCUUAUGAUCUUUAUAAAAACAAGGAAAGCUUCUCGUCUUUCUUAGGAUGGGUUGUUAACCACUGGCAAAACAGGAAAUGCCACUCAAAACUACCAUGAGUAAUUAAUUGGAAGAGAUGAGAAGCCGCUUUGUACUGUAUCAAUGUUGCUAGACUGCACUACAUUUCUUAGAAUUCCCUUUUCUGUAUUUUCUAGAUGGGGUGGGCCAUAAGGGACAGCCUUGUCGGCAACACAGAGGGCCACUUUGUAACUUACACGUCUGAAUCAUUCACGUGAGGUAGCUGUCAGGCCUGCACGCGCUCCGCCUUCCUCUGGAUCCUAAUUCAGUAUCUCUGAAUCCUGGGCCACUUGUGUGUAUUUAACUCCAUGAAGAAAGGCCCUGUUUUCUGCAGAUACCUACACCAUCAAGGUCAGAUGCAAUAGGAAAUGACACAGGUUUCGGUCUUUCCUUGUGGAUUCUAGAUCAUAUUCAUGGAUUCCAACUUUUUCUUGCGUUCCCCUACUUUAUCCUUAUCUUCCCUCCCUGGGAAUGACUGCCUAAUGACUGGACUUGAAGCUCUAACAUAAGAUGCAAAGAUAAAAACCCUGCAGAGACCACUUAACCAGCUGCCACUAUUGCAGAAGCUCUAAUACAUAGACCUUGAGGUGCAUGGGUGGCUUAGUUGGGUAAGCAUCCAAACCUUGAUUUUGGCUCAGGUCAUGAUCUCAGGGUUGUGAGAUCAAGCCCCGAAUCAGGCUCUACACUGGGCAUGGAGCCUACUUAAGAUUCUCUCUCUCCCUUUCCUCUGCACCGCCCUAUUCUCUCUCUCUUUCAAUAAGUAAGUAAGCGAAUAAAUAAAUAAAUAAAUAAAUGCAGAAUGGGCCAAUUUGUACUGAAAAAUCCAAAAUAGAAUAUAAACAGACAGAAGUAGAAAAGGAGUCUUGUAUGUCAUUCUUGAUUUGUUAAUUAAUUCAACAAAUAUUUAUUGGGUGAUACAUAAAUGUCAGACACUGUGCAAUGUUCUAAGUUAAAAUGAUGGCUUCUUGUCAACCUGGUACCAGUUCUAGGUACUGGUGAUAUAGCAAUGAACAAAGCAAAUAUCCCUGUCAUCAUAGAGCUUACAUUCUGGUUAGUUGAGGCGACCAAUAGACAUAUAAAUAAAGCAAAUAUGUUUAUAUCAGAUCAUAAUGAGUAAAAUAGAGAAGAGACACAUAGAGACAGUAACUCCCUUCAUUAAUGGCAAGGAUUUAGAGAAAAUGUAGGCCAAGUGCCUGACCCAGAAUAGUCCUUCUGUAAACUGGGGUUUUUGUUUUUUGUUUUGUUUUUAUUUUGUUUUUUAUAUUUUAUUUAUUUAUUUGACAUAUGGAGAUCACAAGUAGGCAGAGAAGCAGGCAGAGAGAGAGGAGGAAGCAGGCUCUCUGCUGAGCAGAGAGCCCGAUCCCAGGACUCUGGGACCAUGACCUGAGCCAAAGGCAGGGGCUUUAACCUAAUGAGCCACCCAGGCGCCUCUGUAAACUGGGGUUUUUAUUGUUUUCUUUAGGACUGUGACAGAGGGACUAAAAAAGGGAGAGAGAAGAUGUGACGAAAACCCAUGAAAAGGAAUCAGAACUCAGUAACUGAUUAUGCUUGUUACUUAAGAGAGGGUGCAUUAAUGGGAUAUGAAUUCUAAUCUCCAGAAUGCAAAGAACUUAAAGAAAAUAAAGAAAUGGUUCUCCAUAUUAGUAAGAGAGUAAAAGAAAAGCUACAUUAAUUAGGAGAAUCAAACAAGAUAAAGCAGUCUGGAAUGUAGCAGAGAAAUGUGGAAAUGAACGUGAGAAAGAACAUGAACCGUCCAUAAGACAAAGCCCAGGGUACACUGCUGAACUUGAAUCUCUGAAGCACACCAAUAGGAAAUUUAAACAGGUGAAAAUGGACAGCCUGAGUCACGUUUGUUUGGAGGACUCAACUCUAGGCCUGUAUAGCUCCAUGGUCUUCUGAUUCUGGGAUGAUGCUUCUGCAGGUACAGGAACUGGACUAUGAAGAUCAGGAUAACCUGGGUCGUGGUGGGACUCAGCUGAAUCAUGGGUCACUGUGGCUAAUGGCCAUGUACGCUUCCCCGCAGCCACUGCUCACUCCUUAAAUGCCAUCCCCAUCUGCCCUUAAUGAUUAAAUACACAAGGUAGAAGAAAAUGAAAAGAUCUCAUUACUUUCUUUAAGGCAUUUUUGUUUCUCCAAUGAAGAACACUGAGUAGCAGGUACCAUGUUGUUGAGAGUGUUAAAGGAGAAGCUUGGCAACUAAAAAAGCCAUGUAAGAUAUGAUGGGCUUCGUUUCAGCACGCGUCGUAUAAAUAGUAGCACUUUUAAUGAUUGUACCCAGCAGUACAUUACUAAUCAUCUCCCCUGUGGGUGAAAGGUGACUCACACUGCAGAAUUUGGGAGAGACUAAGGAGAGGAUGGGAGAGCAGGGACAGGGGGACAGGACUUGAAGGUGUGUGUGUGGAGGGUGUUGUGUUAAAUGGUCACCAUGGUCUCACCUGACCACAGUGUAGCUGGUGGAGAUAUCCUCAAAUAUACCCACAUUUGGGCAUCUGGGUGGCUCAGUUGCUUAAGCGACUGCCUUCAGCUCAGAUCAUAAUCCUGGAAUGCCAGGAUCAAGUCCCACAUCAGACUCCCCACUCAGUGGGGAGUCUCCUUCUCCCUCUGACCUUCCCUGCUCUCAUGCUUGCUUUCUCAUUUUCUCUCUCUCAUAUAAACAAAUAAAAUCUUAAAAAUAUGUAUAUACCCACAUAUUUACUGAAUUACAUGGAAAACAAUGCUUCAGUUUUCUAAUGGAGUAAAUAGUGACGAUUUGGCUACAUUUCUUUGAAGACGACAAUCUUUUGGUUUGGAGCACCGGAGAAGCACAUUAUUAACACAAAUAUUCAAAAUAGUGGGCACUGAGAUAGAGACAGAAGCUAUUUUUGUUGACCCUGGUAUGUGCCUGAAAUGUUAAAAAGUCCUGAUGUCCUAUUUGUGAAGAGAAGUUAUUAAAGACUAAGCAUAUCCGAAAUCUGGAAAUGAUUUGGGAUUAAGGUUUUCAACAGCAGAUCAUAGAUGAAGCUUAGAAGGAAAUGAAUGCAUAGAAAGGUCAGGCCCCUUUCCUAAAUUAAAGGCAGAGAAUAAACACAAUGUUCUCUAGGAUAGCCUUGCUUGACCCAUGACCCAGGAUCUCUUCCCUCAAAGCAUUUGUAAUGCUCCUUGAGAAGAUAAACAUGGUUGCCCUCAGUGCAGAGUCUGCUUAAGAUUCUCCUUCUCCCUCUGACCCUCCCCCCACCCCCACUCUCCCACACUUUAUCUAUCUCUCGUAAAUAAAUAAAUAAAUAAAUAAGUUUUUAAAACAACAACAACAAGAAUCCAAGGUGGUAGGUACUGUUAUUAUUUGCGUUCUAUAAAUGCACAGAUUUGGGCACCACGAGACCACUCAUCUGGCUCAAGGUCACAAAGCUUGUAAAGGGAUGAGCCGAAGUCUAUUUUCUGAAUCUGAGUGUACAUAAGCAUAUUGUGUAGUUAUGAAGAAAUGCGUUAUCCCAGAAAAAUAGUAUCUGUAGAACUAUAUGUGAAAAUGCUCACUGAUGAAAGAAGAACUUAAGAUGCUCUUUUCUUAUGAAUUCUUUUUGACCUAAGAAGGCAUUUGAACUACAAAAGUUAAAGGGAGGGUUUGGAAACUCCCACAGCAGAAAAUAUUGGAAUACUAGAAGAGAUGUGAAUUUUUAUUGUUGAUUAGACAUAAAAUGGAGUUGUUUGUGGAUAUGUUUAGACAUGAAAUGUCUACACAAAAGAACUAAAACUUCAUAUAUAAUACCUCACUUUAACUUCUAAAUUUUAGUAACCACCACGGACAGACAGGCUACCUCAUAUCAUUUAGCAACUUCUGUACUAAAUUUUAAGAUCAGAUGAGAAAACAUGUGCAACUCUUCAUUAAGACUCUGUGUGCAUGACCAUUAUGAGGAUAGCCUUGACAGCAGUCCUUAGGUAACAAAGAACAAUAUUACAAUUUCGUUUUAUUAAUGAGAACCUUGAAUGUUGGGACUGAUUUGCCAAAGUCACAGAGAGAGUGGAAGGCAAAAUCCUUACUUUCGGGGCACCUGGGUGGCUCAGUGUGUUAAGCCUCUGCCUUCGGCUCAGGUCAUGGUCCCAGGGUCCUGGAAUGGAGCCCCACAUCGGGCUCUCUGCUCAGCGGGGAGCCUGCUUCCUCCUGUCUCUCUGUCUGCCUCUCUGCCUACUUGUGAUCUCUGUUUGUCAAAUAAAUAAAUAAAAUCUUAAAAAAAAAAAAAAAACCACCCCGUAUUUUCUUGAAACCAGCAAUUCUGAGUCCCAAGUACAGUGCUAUUUUCACUAUGCUUAUUUAAUAAUUUUGGAUAAUUUUUUAAUAAGUUUCUAUUUUUAUUUUAGAAAGAGAGAGAGAGAGCGCAUAAGUGUAUGGAGGAGGGGCUGAAGGAGAGGGAGAAAAUCCUCAAGCAGACUCCCUACUGAGCAUGAAGCUUGACAUGGGCUCGAUCCCAGGACCCUGAGAUCAUUACCUGUGCUGAAAUUAAGAGUCAGACACUUAACUGACUCAGCCACCUGGAUGCCUCGUGGUUUGGGAUAUUUUAAAGACAACUGCAAUAUAUUUGUCCAAUAUGAGUAAAGUGUCCUGGUUUGUCCAGGAUCAAAGGAGUUCUCUGGACAUAGGACUUUCAGUGCUUACAUCUAGAAAGUCCCCAGACAACUGGCACUAGUGGGUUUCCAUCUGUAAAUCUAAUUGUUUGUAGGAUUUAAAAGAAAGCAAAACAACAGUUGUUGGUUUUAAUGGCCAUGUGUUUACAUUGGGGGGAAAAACACGUGAAAAGAUUGCAUGCCAUUGGGUGGGUUGUCACCAAGACUGAAUUAAAAAAUAAAUGAAAAUAUUUAUUACUCACAUUAAAAGCUGAAGAAAAUAAACAUGGCAAAGUGUGAACGCUCCUCUUUCAACUCAGUACAAACAUGUAAUAUAAAGUGCAGGAGCACAGAAAAGCUUCGAGUGGAGGGAAGUUAGUGAUCAGUGAUGUUUGAAAUAUUGUUUAUGGACAGAUGGGAUAUUUUUCUCUGAGUAAUUUAUGAGAAUCUGAUGAAGGUUGGAGCAAAGAUCCUGUUUUUCACAAUUAAACUGAACUUGCCAAUGGUAGAGUUGAGUUGACUCUUGAAGUAGAGUAGAGUUGACUCUUGAACAACUUGGGAGCUAAGGGCACCAACCUCUGUGCACUUGCCCUGGAAAUAUCCAUAACUUUUGACUCCCCUCAAACUUAACUAGUAACAGUGUACUGUUGACCAGAAGCCUUGCUAAUAACAUAAACAGGCAGUUAAUACAUAUUUUGUAUGUCAUAUGUAUUAUACACUGUAUUCUUACCAUAAAGUAAGCUGGAGAAAAGAAAAUGUUAAUAAGAAAGCCAUAAGGAAAAUCCAUAUAUAGAACUACAAUAAAAAAAAAAAUCUGUGUGUAA
This is a long non-coding RNA of Mustela lutreola (European mink), 9237 nucleotides long. RefSeq lists it as uncharacterized. The transcript has 5 exons. The record is from RefSeq and is a predicted model, not a curated record. Lineage: Eukaryota; Metazoa; Chordata; Mammalia; Carnivora; Mustelidae.